Molecule: small RNA, 3951 nt
Filed under: Pongo abelii (Sumatran orangutan)
Lineage: Eukaryota; Metazoa; Chordata; Mammalia; Primates; Hominidae
Description: retained intron
Source: RNAcentral
UUCUAGUAUCACACAUUAUAUAUUUCCUCAUGUAGAAUCAUUAGUCUACCAAAAGAUGGCAGUUUUGUUCCUCACAAGUUUCUGUUGUAAUCUAAAAAUAAAUGAUUAUGGUAGCUUUUUUAUUACUGUACCUAACACUUUUUACCCUCUACUAGAAUACAAGGUUUUUAUAUAGAAGAACAAAAAAGAGUGUUGAAGUUUUAUGAAACUGACCAUCUUUUUUGUUAUUUUUUUAGGAAUUUGCCACUUUGUAAAAAACAGUCUUUCUGUUUUUGGCUUCUUCGAUUUAAUGUGAGCUGUUCUUAUUUUGUGUUCUUCAAAUGGCCGUGAAAUGUGAACCAGAAAAAGCUACCCCCUUCACUUUUUUUUUUUUUUUAAAGAAAUCUCAGCUUGUUGAAAGAGAUCCUUUCUUUCCAUAGGCAAAUUUGGCCAAAUUUAGCUCUUCUCCUGAAACAUGGACCUUUUUGCUCCAAAGUGAAGGGUUCUUUCAUAAGGAAAUCAAAGCACUUGGUAUUUUGAAUAAUGGUUUAUUCAAAAAGAACUUGAUUGACUCAGCAGAGUACCUCAAAUUCUUGUUUGUCUGCUUUUACCAUGUUAAACCUGAACAUAAAAUGCAAAUUAUUUGGUCUAGUUAUUUAACAUUUUGAAACAUUAAGUUAAAAGGAGCUAUUUGGAAACAAGUUAUUAUUUUUUCUUUUCUGUCAUGAUUGGGUGAAUAUAACUAGCUUGUAGAGUCUAGAUGUUAAUAAAACAAAUUCUUUGGGGAAAGAGGUGCGCCUCUCUGCUGUAAAUCAGUAAUUGUAAAAGAACUAGUGUUUAAGUAAAUGACUGCUACCUGACCUCUAUUAUUCUAGAAAACUGAAAAGGGUAUUUUUAUUCAGUAGGGAAACACUUAAAAGCUUCUAAAAUAUUUGAAAUUGUGCUUUAAAAAAAUGCACAGUUUAAUACAUAUCAGUUUAUAGGAAGGAAAGCUAUUCCCAGAAAUUCUCAAAACAGAAAUUAUACAGGAUUAGCAAUAUAGCAUUAUUGGCUCCCAAGGCUCUUGGUUACAGAAUUACCAUUGAAAAUUUUAUCAAAAGCAGCCUUGUCCCUGAUAGCUGCCGAAUCAUUUUUAAAAAGGGGGGGUGGAUGGGAAGAUGGGAGAGAAAGUAGAAAAGGAUGUGUGUUUAUUAAACCUCAACAUGGGAUCCAUUUAAACUUUUAUGUAUUUAUAUCUGAAUAUACAGAAUUAACACUAUAAAGAGCCUGCUAAGACUAGACUUCCAGGCUGAGCAUGGUGACUCACGCCUGUAGUCCCAGCAUUUUGGGAGGCUGUGGCAGGUGGAUAGCCUGAGUUCAGGAGUUUGAGACCAGCCUGGGCAACAUAGUGAAACCCCAUCUCUAUCAAAAAUACAAACAAUUAGCUGAGUGUGGUGGCACAUGCCUGUGGUCCCCACUACUUGGGAGGCUGGGGUGGGAGGAUCACUUGAACCUGGGAGGUGGAGGUUUCAGUGAGCUGAGAUUGCACCACUGUACUCCAACCUGGAUGACGGAGUGAGACCUCAUCUCCCCACCCCCCAAAAAAGAAAAGAUUUCCAAAUAUUAGGUACAUAUACUAAUAUUAUGAGAUUCUCAACAUAAGAAGACUUUUUCUGAAACAAUAAUAUAUUUUUGAAAAGUCACUUAGAGGACCAGAAACAAUUUUUAAAAGCUCUACCAAGAUUUAAUACAUGGUAUAAAUUUAUUGACUUUUGGGCAUUCAAAAAAGUAUUGAGAUUAAUUAUUAAAGUAGACUGUAUAGUACUGUAGAAAGAAUAGGGAGGAUCCAAGUUCAGUAGUUUUGUUUGUUUUUUGAGUCAGGGUCUUGCUAUGGUAUGAAGGCUGGCCUUGAACUUCUGGGCUCAUGCAGUCUUCCCAAGUUGCUGGAACUACAGGCGUGCGCCACUAUGCAUGCUCAGUAUUUUUUAGCUGUAUUUCUGACUUUUAUCAAAUCAUUCAAUCUGCUUUUCUAUCAAUAAUAGUAUAUAACACUAAAUACUUAAUACUUAAGGUUUAUUAAUUGUGUGGUAGGGAUUCUCAUCCCAAUUGCUUAUUAGAGAUUUUUAUCCCAGUUUGAUAGAUGAGGAAACCAGAGAGGUUAAGCAGUUUGCGCUGACACCACAGCUAGUAAGUGACAUUGCUGGAAUUCAGGCCUGGGUCUAUGUGACUCUAGAGCUUGUGAGUCUGUCCUGCCUCUAAUACAUGUAUUUGUGUAGCUUACCUUCAAAGGGAGGAUGUGAAGAUAAAUGAGAUAAUGGAUGGGAAUGUACUUUAAAUUUCACAUAGUUUGUAUUUUUCAAAGUAUUUAAAAUGAUGUGGUAUACUAAUGAGAAAUUUUAAUUUUCAAAGCUUCACUUAAAGGACAAGAAGCGAUUUGAAAAAGCUAACCAGGAUUCAGGUCCCGGUUUGAGUCUUGAAGAAUUUAUUGCUUUUGAGCAUCCUGAAGAAGUUGAUUAUAUGACGGAAUUUGUCAUUCAAGAAGCUUUAGAAGAACAUGACAAAAAUGGUGAUGGAUUUGUUAGUUUGGAAGAAUUUCUUGGUGAUUACAGGUGGGAUCCAAGUAAGUCACCUGGGAGAAUGUGAAAAGAGAAAAGGAAAGACUUUGAAAGACAGCCUUGCUCAUUGAAAGCUCUCUUCGACAGGAACUGUAACAGGAAAUGUAACGAGGAUCUGUGUCUGAUCCUACUUAUUUCGUUAACUGUAGUACAAGUUCAACAAAUGGAUUUAUAGCUUAUCUGAGAACGCUGUCUUGCUUACUUUUACUUCCAUGUGUAGAGUCAAACAUUUUUCUUUCUUUUCAAACAAAUCUAAUUUUAUUAUCAGUUUAAAUGGGGAAGGAAGUAAGGUAGAUAUUUUUAAACAAAAUCCUGUGCUGUUGCAGGUGGAUCUUAAAAGAGAUAGAAACAUAAAACACUACAAAUACUGGUGUAAACACAGUAUCAGAAGCUUAGUAGAAGGUGAAUAAGUGUUUGAAAUUAAGAGUUUGCUUUUAUGUAAGCAGCUGUUUUUUCAGAAUUGUUGCUUAAAGACACCAAACAAUGCAAUUUUUAAAUUGGUCACCAGUUUUACUUAUUCUGAUUGUCACUUUAAAAUUACACAUGGCUUUACUUUGUGAAAACAUGUAAGAAACUUUGUAUAGAAACAUGAUAUAUAGUAAAACAUUACCCACCUCACAUCUGGGAAAACUAGAUAUCAGAACAAAUAGCAGUUAACAAAAUUACUAGUUUAUGAAAACAUCCAAUGAUUUUAAAACUGGGUUAUUUAGACUUGUGUCACUUUUGAAAAUUACUAUAUAUUUGUACUUAUGUCAUGACUUUUCAAUUAAGUAGUUCUGUUUUAUUGGGUUUUCUUUAGUAAACUUUAAAUUCACUUCCUUUAUUCUAGGGAUAUACCAAACUUCUUAUUGGAUACAUGUGAUAUUCUUGUGUAUGUAUAUUUGUGUUUUUUUAUAUUAAGCUGCAAAUGAAGAUCCAGAAUGGAUACUUGUUGAGAAAGACAGAUUCGUGAAUGAUUAUGACAAAGAUAAUGAUGGCAGGCUUGAUCCCCAAGAGCUGUUACCUUGGGUAGUACCUAAUAAUCAGGGCAUUGCACAAGAGGAGGUAAGUGUUACAGAACAACUGUUUCUCUCCACCCCCUCCCCCCGAAUUUGGUGCUGUUGAUAGGAAAAGAAGUUCAAAAUCUUAAGCCAAAGAAAGAAGUAAUGGAGUUAUUUGGGAUUGAUGCAUUGCUAUGUUUUGAAUUUACGAACUGUUUUAGAUUGUCAGGGAGACAAGGAAGUUAAGAUUGUGUCAUGUAUUAAUUUGAGAGUACAGUGAAUAGAAUAAUAGUUUGUAUUUACCUAGAGGGACUCAAAGUAGGUUAUAGUAAUUUUUCAUUGCCUUGAUAUAUCCUGGAUUGGAUUUGAGUGGAGAGAGACAGAACCCAGCAGAAAUG